CAACAGAUUCACCCCUUUAAGAAACUUGUUGUAUGUGAACCCAACACCAUGAAAUAUAAGGGAUUCUCACUUGUGACCUUCUGCAUAUUCCUUCCAUCCUUUAGUCCAACCCAACCACUAUGUGAAAACAGCCUCCCCCAAUCCAGCUGGAGAGAGUGGACGUGCAGCACCAACAGUAGUGAGGUGAAUAGCCAACAGUGUGGGACAUGAGGAGCAGUGCUCUAAUGGAGAAACAGAUAUGAUUAAGCUGACAUACAGAUGUUGUGGCUGAAAGCAUCAUUUUAAUGUCAGCUCCUCCCGUUAAAUGUCAAGUUAAAGAUGCACGAGGAAGAAAUCGCUCCACUGUUUCAUGGUUGUUAAAAUUCUAAUAGUUCACCUAAUUUCAGUUUAUGUGACAAAACAAGCAAGUAUAGUGUAGAGAAUCAUUGUACCAUCUAAAGCACUGUGAAAUGUCACGUCCUGACCCUUGUAAGAUGUCAUUUUCUAUAGUAGAGUAGGUCAGGGCGUGACAGGGGGUGUUUUGGGUGGUUUUCUAUGUUUUCUAUUUCUAUGUUUAGUUCUAGUAUUCUAUUUCUAUGUUGGAGUUUUUUGGGAUGAUCUGCAAUUAGAGGCAGCAGGUUCGCGUUGUCUCUAAUUGGAGAUCAUAUAUAUGUUGGGGUUUUUUCUAUUGUGUUUGUGGGCAGUUGUAUUCUGUUUAGUUGUGUUCUGUGUAGUCUUCAGUACCUGACAGAACUGUUAGCUGAUCGUUUUCUCUUUGUUAUUUUCUUUAGUGUUCUGAGUUUAAAUAAACGUCAUUAUGAGCACUCAA
This 808-nucleotide long non-coding RNA is filed under the name Salmo salar (Atlantic salmon). RNAcentral's name for it is "lncRNA (ENSSSAG00000101375.1, ENSSSAG00000107257.1, ENSSSAG00020004486.1)". The record is from RNAcentral. Lineage: Eukaryota; Metazoa; Chordata; Actinopteri; Salmoniformes; Salmonidae.